GGUGAACGCUGGCGGUAGGCCUAACACAUGCAAGUCGAACGGCAGCACAGUAAGAGCUUGCUCUUACGGGUGGCGAGUGGCGGACGGGUGAGGAAUACAUCGGAAUCUACUUUUUCGUGGGGGAUAACGUAGGGAAGCUUACGCUAAUACCGCAUACGACCUACGGGUGAAAGCAGGGGAUCUUCGGACCUUGCGCGAUUGAAUGAGCCGAUGUCGGAUUAGCUAGUUGGCGGGGUAAAGGCCCACCAAGGCGACGAUCCGUAGCUGGUCUGAGAGGAUGAUCAGCCACACUGGAACUGAGACACGGUCCAGACUCCUACGGGAGGCAGCAGUGGGGAAUAUUGGACAAUGGGCGCAAGCCUGAUCCAGCUAUACCGCGUGGGUGAAGAAGGCCUUCGGGUUGUAAAGCCCUUUUGUUGGGAAAGAAAAGCAGCAGGUUAAUACCCCGCUGUUCUGACGGUACCCAAAGAAUAAGCACCGGCUAACUUCGUG
Molecule: ribosomal RNA, 492 nt
Filed under: uncultured bacterium
Lineage: Bacteria
Description: partial 16S ribosomal RNA
Rfam family: Bacterial small subunit ribosomal RNA
Source: RNAcentral